AAUCAACGCUGGCGGCGUGCCUAACACAUGCAAGUCGAACGCGAAAGCCCCGCAAGGGGCAAGUAGAGUGGCAAACGGGUGAGUAACGCGUGGGUGACCUGCCUUCGAGCGGGGGAGUAACGUUCCGAAAGGGACGCUAAUACCGCAUAACAUCCUGCCCUUGAACGGGUGGCGAUCAAAGCUGGGGAUUCGCAAGAACCCGGCACUUGAAGAGGGGCCCGCGUCUGAUUAGCUAGNGGUGAGGUAACGGCUCACCAAGGCAACGAUCAGUAUCCGGCCUG
RNAcentral lists this ribosomal RNA (281 nucleotides) under uncultured bacterium. RNAcentral's name for it is "partial 16S ribosomal RNA". It matches the Rfam family "Bacterial small subunit ribosomal RNA", at positions 32 to 294 of the family's 1533-position model. The record is from RNAcentral.